This 492-nucleotide ribosomal RNA is filed under the name uncultured bacterium. RNAcentral describes it as "partial 16S ribosomal RNA". It matches the Rfam family "Bacterial small subunit ribosomal RNA", at positions 30 to 507 of the family's 1533-position model. The record is from RNAcentral.
AUUGAACGCUGGCGGCAUGCUUUACACAUGCAAGUCGAACGGUAACAGGCCUUCGGGUGCUGACGAGUGGCGCACGGGUGAGUAAUGCAUCGGAACGUGCCCAGAGGUGGGGGAUAACGCAGCGAAAGCUGUGCUAAUACCGCAUGUGAUCUGAGGAUGAAAGCGGGGGACCAGGCAGCAAUGUUUGGCCUCGCGCCUUUGGAGCGGCCGAUGUCAGAUUAGGUAGUUGGUGGGGUAAAGGCCUACCAAGCCGACGAUCUGUAGCUGGUCUGAGAGGACGACCAGACACACUGGGACUGAGACACGGCCCAGACUCCUACGGGAGGCAGCAGUGGGGAAUGUUGGACAAUGGGCGCAAGCCUGAUCCAGCAAUGCCGCGUGCGGGAAGAAGGCCUUCGGGUUGUAAACCGCUUUUGUACGGAACGAAAAGGCUCUGGCUAAUACCUGGGGCUGAUGACGGUACCGUAAGAAUAAGCACCGGCUAACUACGUG